Molecule: transfer RNA, 73 nt
Filed under: Gammaproteobacteria bacterium
Lineage: Bacteria; Pseudomonadati; Pseudomonadota; Gammaproteobacteria
Description: tRNA-Thr
Rfam family: tRNA
About the family: Transfer RNA (tRNA) molecules are approximately 80 nucleotides in length. Their secondary structure includes four short double-helical elements and three loops (D, anti-codon, and T loops).
Source: RNAcentral
GCCGGUGUAGCUCAGUUGGUAGAGCAACUGAUUCGUAAUCAGGAGGUCAGCGGUUCGAUUCCGCUCUCCGGCA